ACGGGAGGCAGCAGUGAGGAAUAUUGGUCAGUGGGCGGGAGCCUGAACCAGCCAAGUAGCGUGGAGGAUGACGGCCCUACGGGUUGUAAACUCCUUUUGCCGGGGGAUAAAGAACGGGACGCGUCCCGUCUUGCAGGUACCCGUGCGAAUAAGGACCGGCUAAUUCCGUGCCAGCAGCCGCGGUAAUACGGAAGGUCCGAGCGUUAUCCGGAUUUAUUGGGUUUAAAGGGUGCGCAGGCGGCUUUUUAAGUCAGUGGUUAAAUCGUGACGCUCAACGUCAUCACGCCAUUGAUACUCGAGAGCUUGAUUGCGGUCGAGGUUUGCGGAAUUCGUCGUGUAGCGGUGAAAUGCAUAGAUAUGACGAAGAACACCGAUUGCGUAGGCAGCAGACCAGGCCGUAAAUGACGCUCAUGCACGAAAGUGCGGGGAUCGAACAGGAUUAGAUACCCUGGUA
RNAcentral lists this ribosomal RNA (454 nucleotides) under uncultured bacterium. RNAcentral describes it as "partial 16S ribosomal RNA". It matches the Rfam family "Bacterial small subunit ribosomal RNA", at positions 341 to 792 of the family's 1533-position model. The record is from RNAcentral.